GACGAACGCUGGCGGCGUGCUUAACACAUGCAAGUCGAACGGAAAGGCCCUGCUUUUGUGGGGUGCUCGAGUGGCGAACGGGUGAGUAACACGUGAGUAACCUGCCCUUGACUUUGGGAUAACUUCAGGAAACUGGGGCUAAUACCGGAUAGGAGCUCCUGCUGCAUGGCGGGGGUUGGAAAGUUUCGGCGGUUGGGGAUGGACUCGCGGCUUAUCCGCUUGUUGGUGGGGUAGUGGCUUACCAAGGCUUUGACGGGUAGCCGGCCUGAGAGGGUGACCGGCCACAUUGGGACUGAGAUACGGCCCAGACUCCUACGGGAGGCAGCAGUGGGGAAUAUUGCACAAUGGGCGGAAGCCUGAUGCAGCAACGCCGCGUGCGGGAUGACGGCCUUCGGGUUGUAAACCGCUUUCGCCUGUGACGAAGCGUGAGUGACGGUAAUGGGUAAAGAAGCACCGGCUAACUACGUG
This 468-nucleotide ribosomal RNA is filed under the name uncultured bacterium. Its description in RNAcentral is "partial 16S ribosomal RNA". It matches the Rfam family "Bacterial small subunit ribosomal RNA", at positions 28 to 507 of the family's 1533-position model. The record is from RNAcentral.